CCUACGGGAGGCAGCAGUGGGGAAUAUUGCACAAUGGGGGAAACCCUGAUGCAGCAACGCCGCGUGAAGGAAGACGGUUUUCGGAUUGUAAACUUCUGUUCUUAGUGAAGAAUAAUGACGGUAGCUAAGGAGCAAGCCACGGCUAACUACGUGCCAGCAGCCGCGGUAAUACGUAGGUGGCAAGCGUUGUCCGGAAUUACUGGGUGUAAAGGGAGCGCAGGCGGGAAGCCAAGUCAGCUGUGAAAACUACGGGCUUAACUUGUAGACUGCAGUUGAAACUGUUGGUCUUGAGUAUCGGAGAGGCAGGCGGAAUUCCUAGUGUAGCGGUGAAAUGCGUAGAUAUUAGGAGGAACACCAGUGGCGAAGGCGGCCUGCUGGACGACAACUGACGGUGAGGCGCGAAAGCGUGGGGAGCAAACAGGAUUAGAUACCCUAGUAGUC
Molecule: ribosomal RNA, 441 nt
Filed under: uncultured bacterium
Lineage: Bacteria
Description: partial 16S ribosomal RNA
Rfam family: Bacterial small subunit ribosomal RNA
Source: RNAcentral